AUUGAGCGUGAUAAGGGCGUUCGGUGGAUGCCUUGGCGCCAAGAGGCGAUGAAGGACGUGGCACGCUGCGAAAAGCCGCGGGGAGAUGCGAGCGAUCGUUGAUCCGCGGAUGUCCGAAUGGGGAAACCCACCCUUUCGAGGGUAUCGGGGCCUGAAUACAUAGGGCUUCGAGGCAAACCCGGGGAACUGAAACAUCUCAGUACCUGGAGGAACAGACAUCAACCGAGAUUCCGCGAGUAGUGGCGAGCGAAAGCGGAUUAGGCCAGUGGUCUUGUUGAGUUAAGCCGAGCAGUCUGGAAAGGCUGGCCAUAGUGGGUGAUAGCCCCGUAGGCGUAUGGCUCCUCAAGAUCCUUGAGUAAGGCGAGGCACGUGAAACCUUGUCUGAACAUGGGGGGACCACCCUCCAAGCCUAAAUACUCCUUGGCGACCGAUAGUGCACAAGUACCGUGAGGGAAAGGUGAAAAGCACCCCGACGAGGGGAGUGAAAGAGACCUGAAACCGAGCGCCUACAAGCAGUCGGAGCCCUUACCGUAAGGUGGGUGACGGCGUACCUUUUGUAUAAUGGGUCCGCGAGUUUCUGUUAGCAGCAAGCUUAAGCCGUGAGGUGUAGGCGCAGCGAAAGCGAGUCCGAAUAGGGCGCCUAGUUGCUGGCAGAAGACCCGAAACCGAGUGAUCUAGCCAUGGCCAGGCUGAAGGUGCGGUAACACGCACUGGAGGGCCGAACCCACGCCUGUUGAAAAAGUCGGGGAUGAGCUGUGGCUAGGGGUGAAAGGC
Molecule: ribosomal RNA, 774 nt
Filed under: Pseudomonas sp.
Lineage: Bacteria; Pseudomonadati; Pseudomonadota; Gammaproteobacteria; Pseudomonadales; Pseudomonadaceae
Description: Bacterial large subunit ribosomal RNA
Rfam family: Bacterial large subunit ribosomal RNA
Source: Rfam by way of RNAcentral